GAAAGUCAGCAAAAUGUAUCUAUAACCUUGGAAAAAGGAUUUGGGUCCUAGUUCUAAACCCAUCGAGUUGGUCCUACGACGAGAGCAUGUCAUCGCAUGUCGAUCGGUAGACAAAUUGGGAAUGAACCCUUUUCGGGUUUUUCCCCGAACGUCAAACAAUCGACUUAUAAUUGGUACAAACAAGAUGAAUUUGAUUGUUUAAUUAAAACAAAGCGUUGUGAUGGUCACUAUCAAUAUUGAUGCAAUGCGAUUAAUGUCAUGUGUUCUAAAUGUCAAAGUGAAAAAAUUCAACCAAACAUAGGUAAAAUGCUAUGACUCUUAAGGUAUUAAAUGUCUCAUCAUCUAAUUAGUUAUUCUGGUGCGUAAAGCAAAUAGCAAUGGC
This 382-nucleotide non-coding RNA is filed under the name Phaseolus vulgaris (common bean). Its description in RNAcentral is "Eukaryotic large subunit ribosomal RNA". It matches the Rfam family "Eukaryotic large subunit ribosomal RNA", at positions 1909 to 2334 of the family's 3401-position model. Lineage: Eukaryota; Viridiplantae; Streptophyta; Magnoliopsida; Fabales; Fabaceae. The record is from Rfam by way of RNAcentral.